AAGCUCGGUACUGAUGGGGUCAAAGGGCUUACCCUGGUUAAUGUUAUAUGAGUUAGGAACAUAUCCAGCCAUUCAAAUUAGGCCUAUUCUAUUGAAAUCUCAUGAUAAUUUUGCUUGUUUGGUUGUUUCAUGGUCAGGACCUGAUUGCUGGUGGUACAGAUAGCUCAGCUACUACUAUGGAAUGGGCGAUGUCUGAGAUCUUGAGGUAGCCAAGCACAGCUAAUAAGGCAACUGAAGAGCUGGAUAGAGUCACAGGGAGAGAUAGAUGGGGGGAAGAGAAAGACAUCCCCCAACUUCCUUAAUAUAGAUGCAAUUGUGAAGGAGACAAUGAGGCUACACCCUGUCACUAGCUGUCCUGCUAGCACCUCACCUGGCUCUUCAUGAUUGCAAUGUAGCUGGCUGUGAUAUUCGCAGAGGAACCCAAGUCCUUGUAAACGCAUGGAGCAUAGGACCCCAACAUAUGGGAUGCACCGGAGGAAUUUCGACCAGAGAGGUUCCUAGGGAAGGCAAUUGAUGUGAAGGGGCAAAACUUGAGCUGCUGCCAUUUGGUUCAAGGCGGAGGAUGUGUGCUGGAUACAGGCUUGGCCUAAAGAUGAUUCGAUCAAGCUUGACUAACAUGCUGCAUGGAUUCCACUGGAAAUUGCCUUGGGAUAUGAAGACAGAAGAGCUGAACAUGGAGGAAGGUCCCGCUUGUUGCUGUCAUGGAGCCUAGACUUCCAAGUCAUCUUUACUAGUCGUGCCUUAGACCUAUGUUUUCUUAAUCUUAUUCAGGUUUGUGCUGUGGUUUUACUGAGGUUCUGGCGUAAAGCGGUUUCUGAAUAAAUGGUUUGGGAUUUUGGUGACCUGAUCUUAAGCCUAUGGCCUUGAUGGGAACUUUCUUUUUUCGGUUCCUUCUGUGCUUCUCCUCCUUCCUUUAUCUCCUCCUUAUGCAAGUCAUUUUCACUUUGGACUGUGUACAUAAAGGGCCCAAUAGGAAUAUCUUGGUAGUCCUGGAGAGGCUCCAGGGUCUUAACCACAGUGCUCAUUGUUGGUCUAUGCUUUGGCAUGUGGCUCAUGCACCAGUAAGCCAAUGCAGCAGCCUUUUGAGCCCCUGCUUCUGAGUAUUGGCCUUCAACUCUUGGAUCCAUUAUUCUGGUGAGCUUCCUGGAAUAGUUCAGUUGAGGCCUAGCCCAUUCUGCUAGGUUCUUCUCCCUGUUAGGCCUGGUCUUGUCCAUUGAUCUUCUCCCAGUUAGUAGCUUCAAGAGCACCACUCCAAAGCUGUAAACAUCGCUCAUUGCUGUCAAAUGCCCUGCAAACAAGCAAACUUCUUAUUUGUACUCCAAAGGAAUAUGCCCUUAACAUUCAAUCUAGAUUGGAUUAAACCUUACUGAAUUUCCUGUGAUAAUGUACUCUGGAGCAGCUUACCCUUGUGUCCCCAUGACUCGGGUUGAAACAUGCGUGUCAUCGCCUUCAGGGCCGUCUUUUGCUAAACCAAAAUCUUAUAAUUUGGGAGUAUGAUCCUGAAAAAGGUAUCAACAAAAGGUCAGCGAUCAUAAACAAAGCCAACAAUAAUGCUGAAGUGGAUGAAUUAGAACUCGCCACAGGUAACAGUAUGAUCCCCAUUUUAUAGGCAGCAUGAUACCCAUUUUAUAGCUAACAUGGGAAUUCGUGUUGUUAGGAAUUGGAAGGAACACGAAAGAAAAUCAUCAUUAAUAAGAUUCCUUCUAUUAUUAGCCUGUCAAUGAAACUAAGACAUGUUAUAAGAUCAUAGAUUGUUAGCCCUUGGGGGCUGUCUAACUAUGUUUUGAUGAUAACAACAUAAGAUGAAGUGUACUGAGUUGUUUGAAUUAAGAAAAGUUUCAAGUUUUAUUGAAAAUUUCAAAAGAAAGAUAAAGAUUGUCUAAAAAAAGAUUUGAAGGACACGAAAAAAUGAAUCCUUAAAGAUUUAUAAGGUUUAAGAAAUUUUGUAAGAUGAAUCUCUUGCAUGUGUUUAGGAUUAAACUGAUUUUUAUACACUUUUAAUGCAUUCAUUUAGAUUUAGGCGACAUUUGUUUUUUUAACUUUUUACUGAAAGCAAAUUGCUUUCAGAUUUCAAAUUGUUUAUUUCUUCACUUUUUGUUAAUUUAUUAUUUAUUUAAAAAAAAAUUUUAUUGAAUAGAAAAAGAUAAAAUAUUUGAUUUUUUUUUUUAAAGUUAAAAAUAACAUUGGUUUUUGUUUAUUUUUUAAUACUUAAUAAAAAUGAAAUAUUAAAAAACAAACAACUUGAGUGCAAUUGAAAUCCCAUAUCAAUAUUAAGAUCAAUUUUAAUAAUAUUUAUAAUGUCCAUAUAAUUUUAAAACAUAUUUAUACAAUAAAAAAUGGCCUACUAUAUAUAAUAUGUUAGGAAAAGAAAAUUUUUCUCCACAGAAGUCGAGUUUUACAAAAUCCUACCACAAGUCAAUAAAAAAAGAAAAAUGUUUGACGUAAGUUGAGAUUAGAGUUUGAAAUUACAAGUAAUGCAAGUGUAAAGUUUUCAUUAUGCAUGUUUGUGCAAUUUUCCUUAAAUCUUGAAAGUCACGGAUAACAAAAUAUGACCAUAAUCCACCAAUUCAUACACUAAAAAAUAUCUUCUAUAGAGGGAAUAGUCCUGAACCAUAAAAAAUAUAGAGACAGGCCGGCCAUGGGGUGGGUUCAAUUAUUAUUGAGAUCGCUCAUGGGGUGAAACAAUUUUAUUCUAUGCAACUUGAUUAUUGAGAUGGUGAUGGGGAUAAAAGAAGGUCCACCCUUAAUGUCAGGACAAAGAAGCAUGUUGCCCAUGAUUUUCUGAAAAGCUAAACAUAUUCUAAACAGUACUUCUUGCAAGCCCAAAGACACCAAAGUAGUGCAUCAGAAGAGCUUGGAAAGAGGUGUUGGGUGCUAGGUCAAUUUUUCGAAUAGAUCAAAAGAAAGCUAAAGAUUGUCUAAAAAAGAUUUGAAGGACACCAAAGGAUGAAUCCUUAAAGAUUUAUAAGGUCUAAGAAAUUUUGUAAGAUGAAUCUCUUGCGUGUAUUUAAUAUUAAAUUGAUUUUCAUACAUUUUUAAUGUAUUCAUUUAGACUUAGUUGACGCUUGUUUUUUUAACUUUUUGUUGAAAGCAAAUUACUUUUAGAUUUUAAAUCAUUUAUUUCUUAAAUUUUUUUAUUAAAUAGAAAAUAAUAAAAUAUUUGAUUUUUUCUUAAAGUUAAAAAUAAUAUAUUAGUUUUUAUUUACUUUUUAAUACUUAAUAGAAAUGAAAUAUUUAAAAACAAACAACUUGAGUGCAAUUGAAAUCUCGUAUCAAUAUUAAGAUCAAUUUUAAUACCAUUUAUAAUGUCCAUAUAAUUUUAAAACAUAUUUAUACAAUAAAAAAUGGCAUACUAUAUAUAAUAUGUUAGGAAGAGAAAAUUUUUCUCCAUAGAAGUUGAGUUUCACAAAAUCCUACCACAAGUCAAUAAAAAAAGAAAAAUGUUUGACAUAAGUUGGGAUCAGAGUUUGAAAUUAUAAGUGAUGCAAGUGUAAAGUUUUCAUUAUGCAUGUUUGUACAAUUUUCCUUAAAUCUUGAAAGUUACGGAUAACAAAAUAUGACCAUAAGCCAACAAUUCAUGCACUAAAAAAUAUCUUCUAUAGAGGGAAUAGUCUUGAACCAUAAAAAAUAUAGAGACAGGGCGGACAUGGGCUGGGUUCAAUUAUUAUUGAGAUCGCAGAUGGGAUGAAGCAGUUGUAUUCUAUGCAAACUUGAUUAUUGAGAUGGUGAUGGGGAUAAAAGAAGAUCCACCCUUAAUGUCACGACAAAGGCAUAUUCCAAACAAUACUUCUUGCAAGCCCAAAGACACCAAAGUAGUGCAUCAGAAGAACUUGGAAAGAGGUGUUGGGUGCUAGGUCAAUUUUUCGAAUAGAUUGAAGUAAAAUGUUUGUUUAUGAAAAUUUUUUAAAUACGAAUUGAUAAUGUGAAAGGUACAGUAUUGUUUUAUAUUUAAAUUGAAAGUGUCAAUUUUUUGUUUUUUCUGAUCUCCAUGCAUUACAUAACUCCAUCAGAAAUUCCCGGGGUGAGUAAUAGGAUUUGACGAUAGACUUAAAAAGUCAUCUAUAGACACUUUAUACGUAAUCAUUCUAGAUAACACUUGUAUUCUCUGUAUUACCUGAUAUAAAGUUAAUAGAUGCUCAUUCCUAUAUAUAUAAUGAUAUCUCAAAAGAUUUAAUUUUUUAUUAUAUUUAAUUCUUUUUAUUUUUCUUUAUUGAGUUAUCGAAUUGACUUUAUUUAUUAUUCCACUUUUUAAGAACAAGUGAUAUUGAUGUAAAAGGAUCGGGAUAGAAAUGAUAUUUUGAUUAGAAGCAACUUUGGAAUUGAUUAUUUAGGAUUAUUGACUUAAAGACUAAUGUCAUUUAUAACUUCUACAAUUUUUUAUUUAAAUGUUAUUAUUGAGCUAUUUUAAUUAGUUUUGAAUUUAUUGGUAAUGUAUUAAGCUCUGACAUGUGAAAUGAGUCUGGUACCUUUAGCUUUUGCGUUGGAGACUUUCUAUUGGGUAGGCUUGGCCGAAGUCCCACUCUCAAAUCACUACCAUAAAAGUUGUUUCCUUGUUAGGAGAAAUGUCCAAGAAAAUUGCAGACUGAGGCCCCAUGAACGAGAAAGGAGGUCAAUUAUUGAAGCACUCAUUCAUUUAGUUCUGCUGUGCAACUUCUGUUUAUGCAUCAUCUUUAUAUAAAAGGUUUCAUGGGAGGGCCAAGAGGAGAUACAUAUGAUCAGGCAUGAUAAAAGCAUGGUGUUCCCAUACACUUUAACAUGAUAAACAGGGCAAGGAUUAAUGAGCAUUCUUGUAGUCAUAACAUCAAGAAAUAUCCCCCAAUUGAAAGAGACUAAGGUAGUAUUUAGUUUUUUAACUUAAUACUCAAUGUAAUUUACUUUCAAAAUUUUUAAAUAGAAAAAACAAAAAUAUUUAAUAAUAAUAAAAUAAUAAAAAAUAAAUGAUUUAAUAUUUAAUAGUAUUAAGUUAAAUAAAAUUCCAUUUAAAUUUAAGUAAAAAAGCCAAACACGAAAGUAUUAAACUAUAGUAUCCAAUAUUAGCCUUGGCCAUUAGUUGAGAAGGUUGCUGUUCUCCUCCAUGGAUGCAAUGACAGAUUCUUCUGUGUUAAAUUUAUAAAUGUUUUCUCUCUGCUUUUGUGUCAUCUUGGUGGACACUGGAAGAUCAAGCCAUUUAAGUAAGACAUUUUUAUUGGGUUUUGGUGAGUGAAUGAUAUCUCUGAGUGAUACACCUUUUUUAUUUUUAUUUUUAGCUUUUACCUUAUGUUUAAUUCCUCGAAACUAAGAAGGAAAGCAAUUUUUUUUUUAAAUUAUCUUCUCAUAUUAAUUAUUCUAUAUAAAAUAGGAAAAAAAUCAAAUAUAAUUAAAAUUAAUUAAAAAUUUAUAUAUUUUCAAAUUAUUUAAUCUUAUUUGAAAAGAAUUAAAAAAAAAUAAAAUGAAUUGAAAAUAACAUAUAAAAAUAAUUUAUUAAUAUUAAAUAUAUUUUUAUUUUUUAUUUCCUUCCAUUUUUCUUCUUUACUUUCUUUUUCCCUUCCAAUCAAACAUAAUGUUUUAAGUGUUUAAUAAAAUAUUUAAACUCUUGUAAAUGGUUGAAUAGUACUACCAAAAUGUGAUUCACAUGAGUUCAAUAUAUGCUUUCCACCAGCUUAUUUGCUUAUAAAUAGUCCCCCGUUCCUCAAACUUUCACCACCAUUAAUGGAGGCUCCUUCUUGGGUUGUUUUGGCCCUAGCAUGGCUAGCCUCAGUAGCCCUUCUCUCAAAAGUUUUCAGUUUCCGGCCACCCCACAAGCAAAACCUUCCACCAGGUCCCACACCAUGGCCGAUCAUCGGCAACCUAAACCUCAUUGGCCAUCUCCCCCACCGGUCCCUCCACAAACUGUCCCAAAAAUAUGGACAAAUAAUGGAGCUUCGAUUUGGGUCUUUCCCAGUUGUAGUGGCCUCAUCUUCAGAAAUGGCAAAGCAGUUCUUAAAGACAAACGAUCACCUCUUUGCCUCCAGGCCUCACACUGCUGCCGGCAAGUACAUUACUUAUAACUACUCCAACAUCACCUGGGCUCCUUACGGUCCAUACUGGCGCCAAGGGCGUAAAAUCUUCCUCACAGAGCUGUUCAGCUCGAAAAGGCUCGCGUCUUAUGAGUACAUUCGGGUUGAAGAAAGGCAGGCUUUCAUCUCCCGCCUCUACGCAUUGUCAGGAAAGCCAGUCAUGCUUAAAGAACAUCUCUCUCGCGUUACUCUCGGCGUUAUAAGCAGAAUUGUACUGGGGGAGAAGUACUUCAGUGAGUUCGAAUCCGGGAGGUCGAUGUUGACGGUGGAAGAGUGUCAGAAGAUGCUGGGUGAGUUGUUCUUGCUUAAUGGUGUGUUGAAUAUUGGGGAUUGGAUACCGUGGAUUGCAUUCUUGGACUUGCAGGGGUAUGUGAAGAGGAUGAAGGCUUUGCGCGAUAAAUUUGAUAGGUUUUAUGAUCAUGUGCUUGAGAAACACAGGGCCAGAAGAGAAGCAGAGGACUUUGUGGCUAAGGACAUGGUGGAUAUGCUUCUGAGAUUGGCUGAUGAUCCUGAUGUUGAGGUUAAGCUCACUACUGAUGGGAUCAAAGGGUUUACACAGGUUAGUGUUAUUUGAGUUCAUGAACAUAUCCAACCAUUCAAAUUAGGCCUGUUCUAUUGAAACCUCAUGAUAAUUUUGCUUGUUUUGUUGUUUCAUGGUCAGGACCUAAUAGCUGGUGGUACAGAUACCUCAGCUACUACUCUGGAAUGGGCGAUGUCCGAGGUCUUGAGGCAGCCAAACAUAGCUAAAAAGGCAACUGAAGAGCUGGAUAGAGUUAUAGGGAGAGAUAGAUGGGUGGAGGAGAAAGACAUUGCCCAACUUCCUUACAUAGAUGCAAUUGUGAAGGAGACAAUGAGGCUACACCCUAUUGUUGUCCUGCUGGCACCUCACCUGGCUCUUCAAGAUUGCAAUGUAGCUGGCUAUGAUAUUCGCAGAGGAACCCGAGUCCUAGUAAACACAUGGAGCAUAGGGAGGGACCCCAACAUAUGGGAUGCACCCGAGGAAUUUCGACCAGAGAGGUUCCUAGGGAAGGCAAUUGAUGUGAAGGGACAAAGCUUUGAGCUGCUGCCAUUUGGUUCAGGGCGGAGGAUGUGCCCUGGAUACAGCCUUGGCCUAAAGAUGAUUCAAUCGAGCUUGGCUAACAUGUUGCAUGGAUUCCACUGGAAAUUGCCUUGGGAUAUGAAGACAGAAGAGCUGAACAUGGAGGAAGUUUUUGGACUGACAACUCCAAGGAAGGUCCCACUUGUUGCUGUCAUGGAGCCUAGACUCCAAAACCAUCUUUACUAGUCGUGCCUUAGACCUAUGUUUUUGAAGAUGAUCGGAAAAGUGUCCUUCUAGCUCGAUUGCAUGGGCUGGUUUUUAUAUAACAGGGUUGCCUGGCCAUGUGGUAGGCUGGUCAGUCAUUUUCCUGCCUUUUACAAGAAUACAAAAAUGCCUUUUGACUAAUAGGCAAAGGCAGUCAGCUUUCCAUCAAGCGUUUGGUGUGUUAUUAGUUCACCUCGUCAGGUAUUCUUCUUGGAGGGUAGCACGUUGGGGAUGUACUGCUUUUUGGCACCUCCAGUUUUAUUAAUAUUAUUCAGUUGUGUGUAAUGGUUUUGAUCCGUUAAUUGUAUUUCUUCUGUUCUCUAUCCAUGAAUGCAUUAGUGGCUUGCUUAAUUAAUAACAAACCUUUGAAAAAUGAGGUUACUGAUGUUGUCAAAGGAUACACAUAAUUGUAUUUAGACACAUGGCAGAGUGAUCCCUGUAUAAGAAACAAAAUAAGGAAUAUGGGAGUUUAUAGAGAUACGACACCUCGUACACUACUACAUCUCAUCUUCAUCAACCCUAGACCUUUAUCACCUUUUAACAUGUCGGCAUGCUGCAUGCCACUUCUAAUUUUGUUGGUGAAUAAAGCGUAUGUGAUUCUAUUGGAUGAUUAGCUUCUUAUUGUCAAAAAGGCGCAAAAAAUAUCUUACAGUAAGCAAAAAAGAUUAUCGACAGGCUGCCAUGCAUAUCAUAUGCUUAAAACAUUCUUGUCCUUAUUCAAAUUCAGUCACUUUCCUUAAUCUUUCAUCAAUCUAAUUUCUUCCUUAAGUGCUAUUCCAACAACCCUAUCUUAUCUUAAAUUUAGAGACAUUUAUAUAAUUUGAAAUUUUAAAAAGGCUUUUUUUUAAAAAUAAAUAUUUAUAUAAUUUUAAAAUUUUGUGAGAAAACAAAUGAGAUAUUUUCAUUAUUUUGGUCUUUGCAAUCACCCACUAUCUUUAUUUAUUUCCCAUAUUAUAAAAAAUUGAAAAGAUAAAAUAAAGAAAAUAAAUACAGAAAGUCUUCAAAGAACAGAUUACUUUGUUGUACCAUUUAAAAGUAAGAGUCUAACCUUGAUCCAUCUUUAUAUAUGUAAAUUAAAAUUCUAAAUAUAAUUUAGGUGGUGAUAAAUUUUAUUUCAAAUUUAAAAACUUAGGAGUAUUUACAAAUGUUCAUCAUAAAAUAAAAGAAAAAUAAAAGGAAAGUAAAGAGGCAAGAUGGAGAUGGGGAAAAAAAUUAGGGAAAAUAAUAAUAAUAAUAAUAAUAAUAAUAAUAAUAAUAAUAAUAAUAAUUAAAUAGACAUAGGAAAAUAAUUUUUAGAGUUUUAGUUUAAAUAAAUAAUUGAAAAAAAUGGAUUAUAAAUAUAAUUGAUAAUAAGAGUUUUAUAUAAAUUGGCAAUUUCCUAUAGAUGAAAAUAAUAUUACUUAUAUAGAAAAUUAGGAAUUAGAGUAUUAAUAAUUACAUCAAAGAGAAUAAUAUUAAUGCAAAUGGUAUCAAGAACGUCAAAUACUAAUUUUUAAUUUUUGAUAAAUAGCCGAUUGAAAUAAUUAUUCUUUGAACUAUGUUAUGUUAUGUGUGGAUUAAGUUCUUUAUGAUCAAGUAAUGUUUUUAUGAAAUGUAUUAUGAUUUUAAAUUGGGAAUUUCGAUCAUAUGAUUUAUUGAUCAUUGUGUAAGUGGAUUUUAGUUUAUAAUUUAUUAUAAUGACUUUGAAAUUUUGAUUAUUAGUGGUCUUGCUCAAUAGAGUAUAAAUUAUUAACCUUCGUUACCCUUGAUAGGGGGUAGUGAUGCUAUGCAAUCCUAACCAAUAAGAUGCUAUUAACCUUUGGUAUGCUAUUGAUUGAAUGUUGAUGGGGGAACAAAAUGAAGCUACCCAUCUAGUGCAAAUUCCAUUAUUUGGUUAUAGUGUUAUUAUCAGCGAAAUAGAGUAAAAUAUUUAUUUAUAAAAUCAUUUUGAACAUGAACUUCUACUAUUAAGUGUAUUAUAUUGUUUUAUACUUUUUGAAGUGUCAAUUUUUUUUCAAAAAAAAAAUGUAAACUUAAUUAUUAAAUUAAAUGAGUAGAUUUUUCUUAUUGACUUAUUUUUUCUUAUCGUGUUAAAUAUCGAAUUCACUCUUUUUUUAUAAUUCCACUUUUCAAUUACAAGUGAUGCCAAUGAAGAGAGAUUGUAAUAUAAUUAAGAGUGUUUUUAUUAUAAACAGUUUUGAAAUAGAUAUUGUUUAUGAUUAUUAACUUAAGACUAAUUGUAGUUGUAACUUCUAAAAAUUAAAUUUUAUAGAAUCAUUGAAGUCAUCGUUGAGAUAUUUUAAUUAUUUUUGGUUUUGCUAGUCAACUUAAUUUAUGUAUUAAGUUAUUGGAUUUGACAUGUGAAAUGGCUGUGAUGCUCUUAGCCUUCGGGUUCGAGGUAUCAGAGCCAUUGUCAUCACUUCACGGCCUUCCAACUGGGUAGGCUUGCUCGAAGUCACACCCUCAAAUCACUAGCAUGAAAGCUAGCUUUUACCUUGUUAGGUGAACCGGCUUAGGAAACUGUAAACUGAGAUCCAAUCAAUAAGCAAGAAGUUCAAUUAUUGAAGUUCUUAUUCAUUUGAGUGCUCUUCGACUACUUUAUGUAAAAAAUUUCAUGAAAGGGCCAAGAGGAUAUACAUAUGAUCAGGCAUGGAUGAUGCUUGGUGAUCCCAUACAGUACUCUCACGUGAUAUACGGGCCAAGGAUUAACGAGUAUUCUUGUAGUAAUAACGUUAAGAUAUGAACCCUAAUGGAAAUACUAACUAGAACACGCACGAAAGUAUUAAGCUAUGGUAUCCAUUAGCAUUGGCCAUUAGUUGAAGGUUGCAGUCCUCUAUAGAUCUCCAUUAAUGAUUCUUUUGUGUUAAAUUUAUAAAUGUUUUCUCCAUACUUUUGUGUCAUAUUGGUGGACCCUGGAAGAUCCGUCCUUACAACCAGCCAUAUCAGUAAGACAUUUUUAUUGGGUUUCUGGUAAAUAAAUAUUAGCAUAAAUUGGAAGGCGGUGGCUGUCCAUUUCUGCAGUGAUACACCAUUGUCUUUUUUAAGCUUUUAGUAUUUAAUAAAAUAUUCAAGCUUUUGUAAAUGGUUGAAUAACACUAUCAACAUGUGAUUCACAUGAGUUUAAUAUGUGAUUUCAACCAUGGCCAAUCAUGGGCAACCUAAACCUCAUUGGCCAUCUCCCCCACCGGUCCCUCCACAAACUGUCCCAAAAAUAUGGACAAAUAAUGGAGCUUCGAUUUGGGUCUUUCCCAGUUGUAGUGGCCUCAUCUUCAGAAAUGGAAAAGCAAUUCUUAAAGACAAACGAUCACCUCUUUGCCUCCAGGCCUCACACUGCUGCCGGAAAGUACACUAAUUAUAACUACUCCAACAUCACCUGGGCUCCUUACGGUCCAUACUGGCGCCAAGGGCGUAAAAUCUUCCUCACAGAGAUGUUCAGCUCGAAAAGGCUCGAGUCUUAUGAGUACAUUCGGGUUGAAGAAAGGCAGGCUUUCAUCUCCCGCCUCUACGCAUUGUCAGGAAAGCCAGUCAUGCUUAAAGAACAUCUCUCUCGCGUUACUCUCAGCGUUAUAAGCAGAAUUGUACUGGGGGAGAAGUACUUCAGUGAGUUCGAAUCCGGGAGGUCAAUGGUGACGGUGGAAGAGUGUCAGAAGAUGCUGGUUGAGUUGCUCUUGCUUAAUGGUGUGUUGAAUAUUGGGGAUUGGAUACCGUGGAUCGCAUUCUUGGACUUGCAGGGGUAUGUGAAGAGGAUGAAGGCUUUGCGCCAUAAAUUUGAUAGGUUUUAUGAUCAUGUGCUUGAGAAACACAGGGCCAGGAGAGAAGCAGAGGACUUUGUGGCUAGGACAUGGUGGAUAUGCUUCUGAGAUUGGCUGAUGAUCCUGAUAUUGAGGUUAAGCUCACUACUGAUGGGAUCAAAGGGUUUACACAGGUUAGUGUUAUAUGAGUUCAUGAACAUAUCCAACCAUUCAAAUUAGGCCUAUUCUAUUGAAACCUCGUGAUAAUUUUGCUUGUUUUGUUGUUUCAUGGUCAAGACCUAAUAGCUGGUGGUACAGAUACCUCAGCUACUACUCUGGAAUGGGCGAUGUCCGAGGUCUUGAGGCAGCCAAACAUAGCUAACAAGGCAACCGAAGAGCUGGAUAGAGUUAUAGGGAGAAAUAGAUGGGUGGAAGAGAAAGACAUUCCCCAACUUCCUUACAUAGAUGCAAUUGUGAAGGAGACAAUGAGGCUACACCCUGUUGCUGUCCUGCUUGCCCCUCACCUGGCUCUUCAGGACUGCCAUGUAGCUGGCUAUGAUAUUCGCAAAGGAACCCGAGUCCUAAUAAACACAUGGAGCAUAGGGCGGGACCCCAAUCUAUGGGAUGCACCUGAGGAAUUUUUCCCAGAGAGGUUCCUAGGGAAGGCAAUUGAUGUAAAGGGGCAAAACUUUGAGCUACUGCCAUUUGGUUCAGGGCGGAGGAUGUGUCCUGGCUACAGCCUUGCCCUAAAGAUGAUUGGAUCCAGCUUGGCUAACAUGUUGCAUGGAUUCCACUGGAAAUUGCCUGGAGAUAUGAAGCCAGAAGAGCUGAACAUUGAGGAAGUGUUUGGACUGACAACUCCAAGGAAGGUCCCACUUGUUGCUUUCAUGGAGCCUAGACUCCCAAGUCAUCUUUACUAGUCGUGCCUUAGACCUAUGUUUUCUUAAUAUUAUUCAGUUGUGUGCAAUGGUUUUAGUCUGUUAAUUCUAUUUCUCCUGUUCUCUAUCCAUGAAUGCAUUAGUGGCUUGCUCAAUUGAUAACAAACAUUACAAAAAUGAGGUUACGGUUAACAAAAGAUACACCUAAUGCCAAACUUUUCAAUUGUGUCGAUGGUGUAUAUGUCACUAAUGAUCUCAUUUCUUAGGACUUCAUUUUCUUUUCUCAUGUGGGGGAGGCAGCCAUGAAUCAGUCAGUUGCUUCAUUGUUAAUCAAAGAAAAUGAGGCGAAUUUGAAAGAAUUGAUUCAGAUAGCUAAAAUGUUCUCCUCAUAAGUAUUCAUACACUUUAUGCCUAAAAUGUGACCCACUAUGAAAUACAAGACAACCCUCAGUAAAUCUCUAUUCAUAAUAUGAUCUAUAGUUCUACCCACUUUUCUACCCUUCCUGCUUCUGGGAUGUAGGGAGAGUUUGGAUUGUUUAUGAGAUUCUGGCGUAGAGUGGUUUUGAAUAAGUGGUUGGGGAUUUUGGUGAUAUGAUCCUAUGCCUAUGGCCUCGACGGGAACUUUCUUUUUUGGGUUUCUUCUGUGCUUCUCCUUCUUCCUUUGUCUCCUUCUUAUGCAAGUCAUUUUUGCUUUGGACCGUGCACGCAAAGACCCCAACAGGAAUGUCAUGUGGGCCGAAGUGACUUGAGACUAAAUUGAGUUUGUGUCACUUGGUCCAACCCACUUAAGAUCCUAAUUAAUUAAUUAACUCUAAUGUGCUUAAAUAAAUUAACUAACCUAAUUCAGAAAGUAAGUUUAUAAGAUUUAGUGUAAUAUUACAUUUUUACCAGAAUACCUUUAUUGUACACUUAUGAAUUAUAUACCCAAAAUAUCCUUAAAGCAAGUGCCACAAUGAAACAGGAGCUCAAGUGAGGGCCACUUCUGAAGUUGACUCAACUACACUCAAAAUCCAAUUCUGGCUCCCUAAACUCAACUACUUUCAAAAUAUUGGUUCUUCAAAAUCCAAUUCUGAAGUUAGACUCAACAUUCCAUUCCAUUAAAAAAAGUUAACUACACUCUAGUAUCCUAUGAAAUUACAACGAUACAAAGCUUGAGUGUAUGACCUACUAUCUAUUACAUGCAAACUCCUCAUGAAUUGAUAUUUGUAAUAUAACAAAGAAUUUAGGUAAAGUCUCUAGAAAACUUUGAAUGGAAGAGUUUAAGUGUUGAUAAAUUUUAUUUAAAAUCGAAAAAUUAGGGAUAUGUACAAAUGUUUAGACGAGGUUUAUAUUUAAUAAAAAAUAAUAAAUAAAAAUAAAAAGCCUUUAAAGAACUUUGGUAUGAAGAGUUUAGGUGUUUAUAAAUUUUAUUUCAAAUAAAAAAAAUUAGGAAUAUAUACAAAUAUUUAGACGAGAUUCGUAUUGAAUUGAAAAGAGUACAUAAAAGCGGCAAUUAGCUAAAUGGUUAAUAUGGCUUGUUGCGUGUUUGGGUGUUGAAUGGAUGAAACCACAGACAAAUAAAAGGAAAAUAAAGAGGCAUGGUGGAGAGGAGGAAUAAAUUUUGGGGACAAUAAUAUAAUUAAAUAUACACACAAAUAGAUUUUUGAGAGUUUUAGGUUAGAUAAAUAAUUGAAAAAGGUAUAUUAUUAACGUAUUUGGUAAUGGAGUUGUAUACAAAUUGGGAAUUGCCUCCAUAUUAAAAUAAUAUUAAUGCAAGAGUAUUAAGAAUGCUAAAUAAUAAUUUUAGAUAAAUAGCGCAUCAAAAUUUUUUGAACUAUGUUAUGCCAGGUAAGUUCACUGUGGUCACGUGCUUUAAAAAUUCGACUGACUUUUAUUAUAUAAGAGUUAAUAGUGCAAUAAAUCAUUUUGUAAUUCCUAAUCAAUUUGUAAUUAAAGUAUUAAAAUAUUUAAAUUUUCUAAAGUGGAUCAAUUAAUAAUAUUCUUCUAAAAUGCGAUAUGAUUUGUUCUUUGGUUUUUGAAAUAAAUUAAAAAUAUCAUAUGAUUUAUUGAUUAUUAUGUGAGUGGAUUUUAGUUCUCAAUUUAUUAUAUAUAAUGACUUUGAAACUUUGGUUAUUGGUGGCGGAUAAAUUGUUGAUCUUCACUACCUUUGACGAGGGUAGUAAUGUAGUAUAACCCUAACCAGUAAGGAUGUUAUUAGCCUUGGUACACCAUAUAUUAAAAAUCAUUCCCUCCAUCAAUAAAAUGAAUAAAUUGAGGCUAACUACCUUACGUAAGUCUCACUAUUUGGAUAUAGUGAAUCAAAGUAAAAUAUUUAUUUAUGAAAUUAUUUUGAAUACGAACCAAUAAUGCAAGUGUAUUAUAUUAUUUUAUAUUUAAAUUGAAAGUGCCAAUUUUUUUUUUAAAGAAAUAUAUCUCAAAAGAUUUAAUGUUAUAUUAUAUUUUAGCCUCCUUGUUGAACUCUCCUAGAAAACUGUAGAGUGAGAUCGAAUCAAACGAGCAGGAAUUCAAUUAUUAAAAUACUUAUUCAUUAAUAAUGCAAGUGUAUUAUAUUAUUUUAUAUUUAAAUUGAAAGUGCCAAUUUUUUUUUAAAAGAAAUAUAUCUCAAAAGAUUUAAUGUUAUAUUAUAUUUUAGCCUCCUUGUUGAACUCUCCUAGAAAACUGUAGAGUGAGAUCGAAUCAAACGAGCAAGAAUUCAAUUAUUAAAAUACUUAUUCAUUUGGCUGUAUACAAAAAUUUCAUGGAAGGGCAAAGAAGAUGUAGAUAUGAUCAGGCAUGGAUGAUGGUGUUCCCAUACAGUACUCUCACGUGAUGAACGGGGCAAGGAUUAACUAGAACACAAAAGUAUUAAACUAUACAUACAAGAUCCGUUAGGGUUUUGGCCAUUGGCUGAAGAUUGCAGUCCUGUAUAGAUCUCCAUUGAUUCUUUUGUGAUAAAUUUACAAACGUUUUCUCCAUGCUUUUGUGUCAUUUUGGUGGACCCCGGAAGAUCCAUUAUUAAAACCAGCCAUAUCAGUAAGGAAUGAUAAUAUAUUUUGGAAGGUGGGUGUACGUCUAUUUCUGAAGUGAAAAAGGCACCAUUGUUUUUUAAUGUUUAAGCGUUUAAGUUAUGGUUGAUUAAUAUUAACAAAUACGAUUCACAUGAGAGUUGGGACUAAUAUGUGAUUUCCACAAUCUUAUUUGCUUAUAAAUAGUCCCCCAUUCCUCAAACUUACACCACCACCAUCACCACCAAUGGAGGCUCCUUCUUGUGUAGUUUUGGCCCUGGUGUGGCUAGCUGCAGCAGCCCUUCUCUCAAAACUUUUCAGUUUCCGGCCAGCCCACAAGCAAAACCUUCCACCAGGCCCCAAACCAUGGCGGAUCAUCGGCAACCUAAACCUCAUUGGCCAUCUCCCCCACCUGUCCCUCCACAAACUGUCCCAAAAAUAUGGACAAAUAAUGCAGCUUCAAUUCGGGUCCUUCCCAGUUGUAGUGGCCUCGUCUCCAGAAAUGGCAAGGCAGUUCUUAAAGACAAAUGAUCACCUCUUUGCCUCUAGGCCUCAGACUGCUGCUGGCAAGUACACUGCUUAUAACUACUCCAACAUCACCUGGGCACCUUACGGUCCAUGCUGGCGCCAGGGGCGUAAAAUCUUCCACACAGAGCUGUUCAGCUGGAAAAGGCUCGAGUCUUGUGAAUAUAUUCGGGUCGAAGAAAGGCGGGCUUUCGUCUCCCGCCUCUAUGCGUUGUCAGGAAAGCCAGUCAUGCUUAAAGACCAUCUCUCUCGCGUUACUCUCAGCGUUAUAAGCAGAAUUGUACUGGGGGAGAAGUACUUCAAUGAGUCUGAAUCCGGGAGGUCAAUAGUGACGGUGGAAGAGUUCCAGGAGAUGCUGGAUGAGUUGUUCUUGCUUAAUGGUGUGUUGAAUAUUGGGGAUUGGAUACCUUGGAUUGCAUUCUUGGACUUGCAAGGGUAUGUGAAGAGGAUGAAGGCCUUGCGUGAUAAAUUUGAUAGGCUUUUUGAUCAUGUGAUUGAGAAACACAGGGCCAGAAGAGAAGCAGCGGACUUUGUGGCUAAGGAUAUGGUGGAUAUGCUUCUGAGAUUGGCUGAUGAUCCUGAUCUUGAGGUUAAGCUCGGUACUGAUGGGGUCAAAGGGCUUACCCUGGUUAGUGUUAUAUGAGUUAUGAACAUAUCCAGCCAUUCAAAUUAGUAUAUUCUAUUGAAAUCUCAUGAUAAUUUUGCUUGUUUUGUUGUUUCAUGGUCAGGACCUGCUUGCUGGUGGUACAGAUACCUCAGCUACUACUAUGGAAUGGGCAAUGUCUGAGAUCUUGAGGCAGCCAAGCAUAGCUACGAAGGCAACUGAAGAGCUGGAUAGAGUCAUAGGGAGAGACAGAUGGGUGGAAGAGAAAGACAUCCCCCAACUUCCUUACAUAGAUGCAAUUGUGAAGGAGACAAUGAGGCUACACCCUGUUGCUGUCCUGCUUGCCCCUCAC
This 16391-nucleotide long non-coding RNA is filed under the name Vitis vinifera (wine grape). RNAcentral describes it as "long non-coding RNA (VVIN_LNC003366)". Lineage: Eukaryota; Viridiplantae; Streptophyta; Magnoliopsida; Vitales; Vitaceae. The record is from RNAcentral.